Molecule: unclassified non-coding RNA, 86 nt
Filed under: Pseudomonas sp. OV546
Lineage: Bacteria; Pseudomonadati; Pseudomonadota; Gammaproteobacteria; Pseudomonadales; Pseudomonadaceae
Source: RNAcentral
CUGGGUGGCGCAGCCGCCCCAAACCCAGGCACCGCAUUCUGUCUGAAAGAAUGCGGUGUUUUUAUUGGGGCGGCUGCGCCACCCAG